RNAcentral lists this ribosomal RNA (454 nucleotides) under uncultured Leptolinea sp. RNAcentral describes it as "bacterial SSU rRNA". It matches the Rfam family "Bacterial small subunit ribosomal RNA", at positions 917 to 1381 of the family's 1533-position model. Lineage: Bacteria; Bacillati; Chloroflexota; Anaerolineae; Anaerolineales; Anaerolineaceae. The record is from RNAcentral.
GACGGGCCCGCACAAGCAGCGGAGCGUGUGGUUUAAUUCGAUGCUACACGAAGAACCUUACCAGGUUUGACAUGCAAGUGGUAGGAAGCCGAAAGGUGACCGACCCUUCGGGGAGCUUGCACAGGUGCUGCAUGGCUGUCGUCAGCUCGUGUCGUGAGAUGUUCGGUUAAGUCCGCUAACGAGCGCAACCCUCGCUGUGUGUUAUAUGUGUCACACGGGACUGCCGGUCUUAAGCCGGAGGAAGGUGGGGAUGAUGUCAAGUCAGCAUGGCCUUUAUAUCCUGGGCUACACACACGCUACAAUGGCCAACACAAUAGGUUGCUAAGCCGCGAGGUGGCGCCAAUCCAUAAAGUUGGUCUCAGUUCAGAUUGUAGGCUGCAACCCGCCUGCAUGAAGAUGGAGUUGCUAGUAACCGCAGGUCAGCUAUACUGCGGUGAAUACGUUCCCGGGGCUU